AUAUAUAUAUAUAUAUAUAUAUAUAUAUAGUUUGACUGGGCUACUAUCGAUAGUAAACUGCUCGGUUUACUACCGAUUUGUUUUUUAUGAUAAAGCUUCCAAAUCGACAAUCGGCACCGUUGAAUAUGAUCUAGACCAUUUAAAUUAUCUAGAAAUCAAAUUUCAUGAUUUUUUGGCAUCACUAACUGAACAAUCAAAGGGUCACAAAAUCUAUAAUUUUAAUGGCCGAUAUGAUGCGUUUGCUCGUUUAACGGUAUAGAAGAGUUCAAAUCAACUAAAUUUAUGUUAAAAUAAUUUUUAAACUAUUUAAAAUAGGAUCUAGACUCUAAAUCUCAAAUAUAAAAAUUGUAUCAUCACUUUUUAAAGGAUAUUCAUUUCCGGCCAUUCAUUUUUCUGUUCACUUGAUGGACAAGAGAACAAUAUCGAAAAUGUGUGAAAUUUGAUUUCAGAUAGUUUAAAUAGUUUAGAUCAUGUUUAACGGUGCCGAUCAUCAAUUUGGAAGCUCUAUCAUCGAAAACAAAUCAGUAGUAAACCGAGCCGUUUACUACCGAUAGUAUUCUAGCAAAACUAUAUAUAUAUAUAUAUAUAUA
This 590-nucleotide long non-coding RNA is filed under the name Ananas comosus (pineapple). RNAcentral describes it as "long non-coding RNA (ACOM_LNC040598)". Lineage: Eukaryota; Viridiplantae; Streptophyta; Magnoliopsida; Poales; Bromeliaceae. The record is from RNAcentral.